GGAUGGCUUAGAAGCAGCCAUCCUUUAAAGAAAGCGUAAUAGCUCACUAGUCGAGUCGGCCUGCGCGGAAGAUGUAACGGGGCUAAACGUAGAACCGAAGCUGCGGACGCAUUUAUGCGUGGUAGAGGAGCGUUCUGUACGCCUGCGAAGGUGAGUCGAGAGGCUUGCUGGAGGUAUCAGAAGUGCGAAUGCUGACAUGAGUAACGACAAAGGGGGUGAAAAACCCCCUCGCCGGAAGACCAAGGUUUCCUGCCCCAUGCUAAUCAGGGCAGGGUUAGUCGGCCCCUAAGGUGAGGCUGAAAAGCGUAAUCGAUGGGAAACGGGUUAAUAUUCCCGUACUUGUUGUAACUGCGAUGGAGGGACGGAGUAGGCUAGGCGAGCGCAGCGUUGGUUGUCUGCGUUUAAGCUAGUAGGCUGAGAUCUUAGGCAAAUCCGGGAUCUUAAGGCUGAGAGGUGAUGACGAGUCCUCUUUUGGACGAAGUCGUUGAUGCCAUGCUUCCAAGAAAAUCUUCUAAGCUUCAG
Molecule: ribosomal RNA, 522 nt
Filed under: Pseudo-nitzschia fraudulenta
Lineage: Eukaryota; Bacillariophyta; Bacillariophyceae; Bacillariales; Bacillariaceae
Description: partial Bacterial large subunit ribosomal RNA
Rfam family: Bacterial large subunit ribosomal RNA
Source: RNAcentral